GGGAAGCAAGGGCUGCUCCUGGAUCUCCUCUCUCAAGUCAUUAGCUGGGGGCAUGGGGGUCUCACUUGGAUAAAUCUUGUCACAGGGAUGGGCUAGGCUGAUGUGCUGAGCCCUGGGCAGUAGGGUCCACCUCCACCAGAGUCACACAGGCAGGUCCUGUCAGCAGGGCCAUUUGCUAGAGGGGUGCUGACCACGUGUCAGUGUGGGAAGGCCUCAGCAUUCCCUUGGGGCAGUUUCUGUGACACUGCCUUUGCUUUUUCUGUGAGGAUGUUCUACAUGGUUCUGAUCCCAUGAGCAGCAAAUAUCUGCAGCAAAACUCAGGUCAGUCCCUGUCAUUAGGUCACUUUAUUGGCUGCUGGAGAGGUUAAUUAUGACCCUUUUUUGUAGUAUAAUUAGUUAACUAUUCAUCUUUGAUAGGCUGAGGUUUAAAACAUGAAAAAGAAGACCCCCUAAGAAAGGAAGGAAGCAAAAGGACCAGAGGGGAAUCUUUGCACUCUGGGAGUAACUCCUCGUGCAGAAUUCUAGACUUCACAACUCUGAUAUUUUCCCCCCCAUCAUUUUUCUGCUUGCGACCUGCAGUACAGAUGGGAGCCUGCUGACAAGAGGCUUUGCAGGUGGAACUGAUCUGGAGCAAGUAAGGAAGAGGCUUUGGGCUGGCAGGUCUCCUUUUACAACCAGGCAACAACAGAGGGCAACAGAUCCCCGCGGAACAGCCCACCUUCAGCAAGGCUUCCACCGGAUGACGCCGAUGGCAGUUGUGGCAGCUCUCUUCACUGCCUCGCAGGGGUCACUCAGGCACCGCUCAAGUGUGGCCGUGUGGUCCAGGAGCGUCUUGCGGCCCUCCGGGAGCUCAGCCAGCAUGGUGAGGACUUUGAGUGCGCUCAGUCGGGCUCUGCUGCUCUCUUCAGCCACCAGCUUCAGCAAGGGUGGGAUGGCUCCAGCGCCCAGAGCUGAGAAUCUCCCUGUGGAGACAUAAGCUGCCUUGAAAUGUGCUGCUGAACCGCUGCUGCCUGCCCAGCUGUGGCUCUGAGCACCCCAGAGGGUGCAGUGCCAAGACUCUGCACAAGAAUUUCCUUGGAAGCCAAGGCUGGCUGCCAGCUGGGUACUGGUAAGAGAAGAUCUUUCCUAGGUAACCUGCUCUGCCUUGCACAUGAUUAUUUCGUUGGCAACAAACUGCCUGAGAACAUUUGAGGAUAAGCUGCCUGGGAGGGGGUGUUGGACACCUUAGGAACAGCCUCUGUUUCACUUUUAAAGACACUUCAAACACUGAGAUCCACUCCUGAGUUGCCUUCAGAAGCCAGAGGCAUGCUUGCAGAGGAGGACUGGGAGACAACUGCUGCUAUGAAGAAUCUUUUAUGUCUAAUUACUCAUUCAUCACACUGAAAAUUUUGCAGUUAGUAUUUUCAGUGCCAUGUAAGUUACUUAGGAGGACUACACUCAUUAACAUUCCUCUCCCAGCUGUGUGAGAGAAGCUGCCUCUAGCCCCAAGAAACAGUGCUCCUCUGCUGAGCAGCUUCAGGUGUGGGAUCUCUCCUUCCCCUCUGGAGCUGCACUCGGGAGGGAAAUGAUGCAGGUGGGGGAGAGGAACAACUUCCUGACCUCUUUCAGGUGAAUGGAAUGUGACGCUGGGAGGGAGCAGUAACAAUUGCCCAAGAAAUGUCCUAAUCUUAGAGUUUCUUGAAGAGCUUUGACACUAUCAGAGGACUUGGGGGAGGAGGAGGGGCAAGGUUUUGUCACUAAGUUGCCUGAGAGUUGUAUUUGCAGAAGGUAUCCCAGGAGAACUGCCUCUGUCUCUCACCCUGGGGUGUGACUGUAGCAAACAUCAGUGCUCCUGCUGCACUGGCCUGGACCUCCGGAUCCGGAUCUUCCAGCAGGCUCACCAGCACAGGCACGGCCUCUCCGCAGACCAGGCUUCUUCCCUCCGGCUGCCUUCCCAUGGAGGCUCUGGAGGAGCUGGAGUCCAUGUGUCCAUCCAGAAGCCUUGGCUCUGUGGGUUACCUGUCAGGCACAGCAGCGCAGCGCCGGGGCUGCAGGCGAGCCUGCAGGCAGCUGUCCACCGGCUGCUGAGUGGAUGCUUGUUUGGCUGCAUUUGGCAUCAGUGGCAACUGCUGACUCAGCAGCUGAGCCAGUAACUGCGAGCUGCAAAUACAGCAGGUAAUAACGAACUGCUGGAGGAGCUGUGUGAGACACUUCACUGCUUUUUGGUUUGAUUGGUUUAUUCUUGUCAGAACUUUUGUCUGUUGAAAAUCUGGAGGAGUCCUUUCCUUUAGCUGUAACUUGUGAUCCGAGUUCACACUGUCAAAUGUCUCCCCUGAUUUGGCCUCACAGGAAGAGUAAACAGCUGAUACUACGUGAAACCCUCAGUUAGCUGAAGGAGGUGAGAAGAAAAUAACAGAAGAAUUUUCAUCAAAGCCAAAUGAGGGCAGGCUGAUACCACCUGCUGCAAGGUGCAUUCAUGAGUUUUGCCUCCCCAUCUCGCAGCCACUGGUACAGAGCAGCAAUGUGCCAGAUAGUUCUACAUAGCUGAUCCCAGUCAUCUGUACUUGAUGCUAUUUUGAACUCUUCCACGUGAGAAAAAUGGUUAAAAAUAAAAAUACAGCCUUUUUAUUCUCCUCUAGCUGUUCUGCUCAGCUCUGCAAGCUCCCAGAAUCACAGCCCCAUCUAUAAAUAUCUAACCCAGAUCUACAAUGGCUUGUGACAAAGAGGGUGUUUGGUAGAACCCUGAAUGAAAUACAACAUGUCUUUUCUUGUAUUUGUAUUGCAGAGCAGAUGUGGCCUCUCAGUGCACCCCCUAUCAUUUGGAGAUGUACGUUCACCAAGAACAUUGCAUGUGUGCACAGCAAUAUUUUGAUGUUGUCGUGGCAUAAUGAAGGGUAAUUGAUUAGAAAGAUCCCUGUGGGAUUUUCUACUUCAGAGCAUAUUUCUGGUUUAGCACUAUUGUCUUUGGUCCCUGUGUACAUGACAGCCUCUGUUUUGCCUGAUGCCAAAUAGAAAACAGGCGGGGAUUUGGCUUUCGGUCAAUGAACAGCACUGGCAAGUUGAGUGAAACUUGGGCGGUUAAGGGUCGCAGUGAGCUGCACAUCAGCUCUUGCACCUUGGCAGUCAGAUGCUGCUCCCUUCAGAUCAAAACCUGCUCUGGUAUGGGAAAAUGUGGUGAUCUGCUUGACAUGGAAGAGAGAGCAGGAAUCCUGUCAGAUCCCCAUGGGGCUCUCAAAUUACUGUUUACUAUUUUCAGGCAAAAAACGUGAUGCAAGCUACUGAUUUUCCCUAUGUGUUU
Pogoniulus pusillus (Red-fronted tinkerbird) is the source of this 3277-nucleotide long non-coding RNA. RefSeq lists it as uncharacterized. The record is from RefSeq and is a predicted model, not a curated record. NCBI's taxonomy places the organism in Eukaryota, Metazoa, Chordata, Aves, Piciformes, Lybiidae. The transcript has 2 exons.